ACUGAUGGCCAUACCACCCUGCAUGCGCCUGAUGUCGGAAGCUAAGCAGGGGUGGGCCUGGCUAGUACUUGGAUGGGAAAAGACAAGGAAGAGGACUUCCAGAA
RNAcentral lists this ribosomal RNA (104 nucleotides) under Octodon degus (degu). Lineage: Eukaryota; Metazoa; Chordata; Mammalia; Rodentia; Octodontidae. The record is from RNAcentral.